UACGGAGGGGGCGAGCGUUAUUCGGAAUUAUUGGGCGUAAAGGGCGCGUAGGCGGCUUGACAAGUCAAAGGUGAAAUCCCUCGGCUCAACUGAGGAACUGCCUUUGAAACUGUCCGGCUUGAGGCCGGGAGGGGGUAGCGGAAUUCCCAGUGUAGCGGUGAAAUGCGUAGAUAUUGGGAGGAACACCAGUGGCGAAGGCGGCUCCCUGGACCGGUUCUGACGCUGAGGCGCGAAAGCGUGGGUAGCAAACAGG
Molecule: ribosomal RNA, 253 nt
Filed under: uncultured bacterium
Lineage: Bacteria
Description: partial 16S ribosomal RNA
Rfam family: Bacterial small subunit ribosomal RNA
Source: RNAcentral